CAGCCGCCGCGGGAAUACAGAGGUCUCAAGCGUUGUUCGGAUUCAUUGGGCGUAAAGGGUGCGUAGGUGGCGGUGUAAGUCUAACGUGAAAUCUCGGGGCUCAACCUCGAAAUUGCGUCGGAUACUGCAUUGCUAGAGGAUUGUAGAGGAGAGUGGAAUUCAUGGUGUAGCAGUGAAAUGCGUAGAUAUCAUGAGGAAGACCAGUUGCGAAGGCGACUCUCUGGGCAAUUCCUGACACUGAGGCACGAAGGCUAGGGGAGCAAACGGGAUUAGAUACCCGCGUAGUCCCUGUCUCUUAUAC
RNAcentral lists this ribosomal RNA (301 nucleotides) under uncultured bacterium. RNAcentral's name for it is "partial 16S ribosomal RNA". It matches the Rfam family "Bacterial small subunit ribosomal RNA", at positions 509 to 807 of the family's 1533-position model. The record is from RNAcentral.